CAAUAGCGUAUAUUAAAGUUGUUGCAGUUAAAAAGCUCGUAGUCGGAUUUUGGCAUCACGCCGAACUGUCAGCCGAUUGGUUUGUACGGUUUGGCGGGUGCUCUCCUUCCGGAAGCUCGUUCCCUUCUUAGUUGACGGGUUCGAUGGUUCCGGGUCUUUUACUUUGAAAAAAUUAGAGUGUUCAAAGCAGGCCUAUGCUCUGAAUAGGUUAGCAUGGAAUAAUAGAAUAGGACUUUGGUUCUAUUUUGUUGGUUUCUAGGACCGAAGUAAUGAUUAAUAGGGACAGUUGGGGGCAUUCAUAUUCCAAUGUCAGAGGUGAAAUUCUUGGAUUAUCGGAAGAUGAACUUCUGCGAAAGCAUCUGCCAAGGAUGUUUUCAUUGA
Molecule: ribosomal RNA, 381 nt
Filed under: uncultured eukaryote
Lineage: Eukaryota
Description: partial 18S ribosomal RNA
Rfam family: Eukaryotic small subunit ribosomal RNA
Source: RNAcentral